CACGUAGGGCGCGAGCGUUGUCCGGAAUUAUUGGGCGUAAAGAGCUCGUAGGCGGCCUGUUGCGUCCGCUGUGAAAGCCCGGGGCUUAACCCCGGGUCGGCAGUGGAUACGGGCAGACUAGAGGCAGGUAGGGGAGAAUGGAAUUCCCGGUGUAGCGGUGAAAUGCGCAGAUAUCGGGAGGAACACCGGUGGCGAAGGCGGUUCUCUGGGCCUGACCUGACGCUGAGGAGCGAAAGCGUGGGGAGCAAACAGG
Molecule: ribosomal RNA, 253 nt
Filed under: uncultured bacterium
Lineage: Bacteria
Description: partial 16S ribosomal RNA
Rfam family: Bacterial small subunit ribosomal RNA
Source: RNAcentral